UACGUAGGGUGCAAGCGUUGUCCGGAAUUAUUGGGCGUAAAGAGCUCGUAGGCGGUCUGUCGCGUCUGCUGUGAAAACUCGGGGCUUAACCCCGGGCCUGCAGUGGGUACGGGCAGACUAGAGUGCGGUAGGGGAGACUGGAAUUCCUGGUGUAGCGGUGAAAUGCGCAGAUAUCAGGAGGAGCACCGGUGGCGAAGGCGGGUCUCUGGGCCGUAACUGACGCUGAGGAGCGAAAGCGUGGGGAGCGAACAGG
RNAcentral lists this ribosomal RNA (253 nucleotides) under uncultured bacterium. RNAcentral's name for it is "partial 16S ribosomal RNA". It matches the Rfam family "Bacterial small subunit ribosomal RNA", at positions 524 to 776 of the family's 1533-position model. The record is from RNAcentral.